This 511-nucleotide ribosomal RNA is filed under the name Trichoderma reesei. RNAcentral describes it as "eukaryotic LSU rRNA". The stretch from base 193 to 346 matches the Rfam family "5.8S ribosomal RNA". The record is from RNAcentral. Lineage: Eukaryota; Fungi; Ascomycota; Sordariomycetes; Hypocreales; Hypocreaceae.
GAACGUUACCAAUCUGUUGCCUCGGCGGGAUUCUCUGCCCCGGGCGCGUCGCAGCCCCGGAUCCCAUGGCGCCCGCCGGAGGACCAACUCAAACUCUUUUUUCUCUCCGUCGCGGCUUCCGUCGCGGCUCUGUUUUACCUUUGCUCUGAGCCUUUCUCGGCGACCCUAGCGGGCGUCUCGAAAAUGAAUCAAAACUUUCAACAACGGAUCUCUUGGUUCUGGCAUCGAUGAAGAACGCAGCGAAAUGCGAUAAGUAAUGUGAAUUGCAGAAUUCAGUGAAUCAUCGAAUCUUUGAACGCACAUUGCGCCCGCCAGUAUUCUGGCGGGCAUGCCUGUCCGAGCGUCAUUUCAACCCUCGAACCCCUCCGGGGGGUCGGCGUUGGGGAUCGGCCCCUCACCGGGCCGCCCCCGAAAUACAGUGGCGGUCUCGCCGCAGCCUCUCCUGCGCAGUAGUUUGCACACUCGCACCGGGAGCGCGGCGCGGCCACAGCCGUAAAACACCCCAAACUCU